GCUGGGCAUGGUGGUGCAUGCCUGUAAUCCCAGCUACUCAGGAGGCUGAGACAGGAGAAUCACUUGAACCCAGGAGGCGGAGGUUGAGGUGAGCCGAGAUCGUACAACUGCACUCCAGCCUGGGGGACAGAGUGAAACCCUGUCUCAA
Molecule: non-coding RNA, 148 nt
Filed under: Nomascus leucogenys (northern white-cheeked gibbon)
Lineage: Eukaryota; Metazoa; Chordata; Mammalia; Primates; Hylobatidae
Source: Rfam by way of RNAcentral